Molecule: long non-coding RNA, 3777 nt
Organism: Cyanistes caeruleus (blue tit)
Lineage: Eukaryota; Metazoa; Chordata; Aves; Passeriformes; Paridae
Source: RefSeq, a predicted model, not a curated record
UCGCCACCUUUAGUGCAUCAAUCACAGCUUCUGAACUUCUCCUGGACCCUUCCUCCACCUCUCCAGGCCGCACCUACAGCUGCUUUGGCUUGUUCUAGUUGGGCACAAAGCAGCCAGAAUGGCCUAUAAGCAGAUUUUCUCUUUGAGAGGCGGAGGAGCUGCUGCACGGCUGCUCCAGGGUGAUCUCCCCGUCCGUCGGAGCGUGCAAGGCCGCGCUGAGGGAGGGGAUCCAGCGCUGGUGCCUGCUGUGCUCUGAUUGUUCUGCACUUCCCAAAGCCGGGAGAAGCAGAGCCUAAUUAGAUCAGCACUGAAGCUUUCUUCCAGUUUGAAAUCAUUUGUCACUUUGACCACUCAUCUUAAACCAGUGGAACUCCAUGAAAUGUUACAAAUUUACAUCAGCCCAGAAAUGAAUAUUGGAUGUGCUUGCUAAACCUGAAGUUCUACAUGUCUGAGGAGGUAAAAGUUCAAGAUGGCAAUGUAAAUCUCAGCAUUGAUUUCAGCCCUUCUUACUCUAACUUGAUGGAAGAGUGAAUGGUACCAAUAAGGAGCACAACACCAUUAACCAGCUGCUGUACAAUCACCAUCUAAAGGACUCUGCACCUUUUGAGAAACUCUGGAUGGGCAUGCAGAAAAUUACUUGAUAAAAGCUGAGAGUCUCAGGUCCUUUCUGAUGUCCCUAUCAAAAUAAGGAUCUUUUAAAUAGGAAGAGGAAGAACUGAGCUGUAAAAAAGGUAUCUGUGGGCAUUUGUCACCUGAGCCUCAGUGUGGAUGAUCCUGCUGUGGUGAUGAUAAACAUAAAGGAGAAACUUGACAUGAUGUUUCCUGUCCAUGUCUGAUUAAGUGUGUUCUACCAGGGGCCAUCCAGCCCAAACCUCCCCAGCUAUUUGUGCAGUAUCUAGUACAGAUCCUUGGGGGGUGGGAAAAUCAGAACAGAGCAAAUAUAGCCUCAGAGAAGGAGCAGUUGGAGCCUGCAGACAAUGUGGAGCAUUACUUCACAGCAGCAAAGCUUGGGCUUGGGACUGAAACCUAAAGAGGGAACAACCUGAUUUGGUGGUGGAAGGAAGAGGAGAGACGGGAUAUGGACCCAGUUUGCCCCUGGAGACCCAGUGGGUUCUGCAGUGCUCACGAUGGGAGGAUGCUGCUGGAUGCUCACCUGGGCUCCUCCUCAGCUCCUGAAGCAUCAGCAUCUUUAAAUCAUCCUGAAUAUUGACUUGGAAAACACGGAAGAUGUGCAGUGUCUGUUACUGAGCUUCAAAAUUUCCUUUAACUGCUACCAAAUUGCUGCUUCACUGGCAACUCUAAUAGACAGUCAUCCCCAGCUAUGAUGAAGUGUGACAGCUUCUCUUUCUUUGCCUAUAAAAUUCUUAAUGGUAGAUAAUCAGAAACUUUUUACUGAGAAACCUUCUUAAGUGUUACUUUCCAUUUCAGUUAUUUAAAGUGGGAUUCUUCUUUUUCAUUUAACUCUGGAUUAUGUAAUUUACCCUGAUGUAACACAGACCAGAACUUCAUCUUGUGGAGGAUGGAAAAGAUGUACAUCUGCACCUACAAGUUAUAUUUCCAAUUGUUGAAACAGUUCAGGGACUUGUUGUUUAAACAAUUUCUUACAUAACAUGUUGAAGUAAUCUCACUGAAAAUUCCUGGUACUGCCAUUUAUUUUCUAUUUCUUAGGCUGACAUCAAUUUCAAAAGCAAAACCAAGAAUUUUUAUAUUUUUAUUUUAAAAGGUAUUUACUUAUGGCUGUUCAAUUAAUGUCCAUCUUGUGUUGUCACAUUUGGUUAUAAAAACCACGGUAUUUUGAUAUAAAAUCACAAAUCAAUCACAAAAUGUUGUGCUACCUUCAAAACGCAGCUUGUCUUCAUUUUUAAGUUAAGUGUGGGCUGUGUUUAGUGGUGUCAUGGUUUCACCACCCUGCAGCUGCUCUUCCAUGAGUUCCUUAAACAUCUUGAGCCCAUCAGGCCACAAAAAACCACCACAAGUGGAGUAAAAGUUUUGGCUCCACCUUGAUGUAUUUGCCAGUUUUAUGCCUGUUGUCAACCUGGGUUUUUUUGUUCCUUAAUGAGUCCAUGUAUUGUUGUCUAUUGUUCUUCAUCUUCCCGUAAGGGAAAAACAGAGGCAAUUAUAACUUAAUAACAUUCUCUGUGCUAAGAAUGUGUGGUGACAGAUAAUGAAGUCCAAUAUCCCGAUCUGAUUACAAGUUGCUCUUUAGAUGGGGGACAAAUAACUACAAGAUGGCAAUGUCAGAGCAAGGAACACUUACACGAUGAAAUAUUAAUGAAAAUACAUUGCACUUAUGUCUCAAUGACAUCUAAAUGGGAAUCAGUUAUCAGAUCUUGAGUGUUUGCUACAAAUUUCUACUCUGCAAAAGGAAAAAAAAAUAAAAAAUCCAAUGAACUUUAAAAAUGUCAGCCAGCAGGGCUUUCAAAUACAUAAUUUACUAGUUUGUUGGCUUCCUAUAAAUGGAUAAUAAUAAACUCCUAGCUAAAAGCAAGCUCAUAAAUGCUGAAUCAAAAAUGGGAAGAACACCAUGAAAUGAUAGAUGUGGAGCUGCAUGGUGGUGAUUUUCUUGUAAGGAGAAAUUGUAGCUGUGCUGUUAAAGCUGUGAAUGGAAAGCUUGACAGAGCAAUGUUUCCUUCCACACUGAAGGAUCUGUGCCCCCCUUUCUGCAUUGCUGCAGAAAUGCAGGAGCAGCAGUGCUGGAAUUGCAGCUUAAGUUUGAUGGACUUCCCUGAGCGUGAUAUUUUCAUAGCCUGCCUAGUUAGGCUCGCCUCUUUGAUACACUCUCAUACUUAUUUAUUUAAACAUAUGAAAAAUAGACUGAUCUAUUAAUCAGGGGGCAGAAUGAAGUCAUUUCUCAUGGAGAAGUUUUAAUCUUAAUCAAAAAUUGACCUAUGUGUUCUACGUUAAAAAGGCAUAUAUUAUUGAAUGGUAUUAAUAGAACCUUUAAUGUUAAAAUAUUUGAUACCAGCCAAAAUUAGAUUCUAUUUUAAGCCAGUACUCUGGGCUGAAUGAGGAUGAAAGGCUCUCGUUUUUUGGUUUGAUUUUAAUAGCAGCCAGACUGGAGUUGAAAGGCUCUGUUCUGCUGCUCAGGCUCCUCGUGCUGCCUGACACUACAGCCUCAUCUCCAUGCAGCCCCAUCUCCCUUGCUGGGUGCAUUCUGUUAAAGCAGGAGGUGAGACCUGACCUGGGCAGAGCAGUGAAUGGAAGAAAGCUUAAAAGUGCUCAGGUCAUGGGGACUGUUCAGUCUUUCAUUUGGAUAAAUUCGUCUGAGGCUCUAAAAUACCAUUACAGGGCUCCAGUGGGUUUGGACUGUGAGCUGGAGCUACAACCUCAGGAAAGCCCUGCUCAGGUUGGAGGGUUGGGAGCAGCCACACAGGCUCUGGGCAGCUCCUGUGGGAGGAUUCCUGGAUUUGGGAGAGGGAGAUUUCCAGCCUCAUCUCUUCUGGAAUCGGUUCCAGUAUAUGCCUUAGGAAUGGGCAGUCAGAGCCACGCUGGGACAUUUGGGUACAGCAUGGAUUCAGUUAGAAAAGGUUAAGAAAUUCUUUCUUCAAGGGUUUAUAUUGCAUCAAAACAAAAAAAAAGUCCCCAAACAAACUAAAUGUUUGGCACAAAACCAUUUAGGUAAAUUGCAUUUAUGUAAAAUAAACCCAGGAAGUGUAAAACUAACUGAUAAUUAGAACAAUUUUUGCAGGUUUAUAUUUAAAAAAAAAAGUCUUAAAGCUCAGAAAUUUAGUCUUAAACAAAGGAACUGACUUAAUUAAAACACUGUAAUAAUGAUGA